This 253-nucleotide ribosomal RNA is filed under the name uncultured prokaryote. RNAcentral's name for it is "partial 16S ribosomal RNA". It matches the Rfam family "Bacterial small subunit ribosomal RNA", at positions 525 to 777 of the family's 1533-position model. The record is from RNAcentral.
ACGUAGGGUGCGAGCGUUGUCCGGAAUUAUUGGGCGUAAAGAGCUUGUAGGUGGUUUGUCGCGUCUGCUGUGAAAAUCCGGGGCUCAACCCCGGACUUGCAGUGGGUACGGGCAGACUAGAGUGAGGUAGGGGAGACUGGAAUUCCUGGUGUAGCGGUGAAAUGCGCAGAUAUCAGGAGGAACACCGGUGGCGAAGGCGGGUCUCUGGGAAGUAACUGACGCUGAGAAGCGAAAGCGUGGGUAGCGAACAGGA